RNAcentral lists this ribosomal RNA (555 nucleotides) under uncultured bacterium. RNAcentral's name for it is "partial 16S ribosomal RNA". It matches the Rfam family "Bacterial small subunit ribosomal RNA", at positions 355 to 900 of the family's 1533-position model. The record is from RNAcentral.
UAGGGAAUCUUCCACAAUGGACGCAAGUCUGAUGGAGCAACGCCGCGUGAGUGAAGAAGGUUUUCGGACCGUAAAGCUCUGUUGUUGGUGAAGAAGGAUAGAGGUAGUAACUGGCCUUUAUUUGACGGUAAUCAACCAGAAAGUCACGGCUAACUACGUGCCAGCAGCCGCGGUAAUACGUAGGUGGCAAGCGUUGUCCGGAUUUAUUGGGCGUAAAGCGAGCGCAGGCGGAAGAAUAAGUCUGAUGUGAAAGCCCUCGGCUUAACCGAGGAAUUGCAUCGGAAACUGUUUUCUUGAGUGCAGAAGAGGAGAGUAGAACUCCAUGUGUAGCGGUGGAAUGCGUAGAUAUAUGGAAGAAUACCAGUGGCGAAGGCGGCUCUCUGGUCUGCAACUGACGCUGAGGCUCGAAAGCAUGGGUAGCGAACAGGAUUAGAUACCCUGGUAGUCCAUGCCGUAAAACGAUGAGUGCUAAGUGUUGGGAGGCUUCCGCCUCUCAGUGCUGCGGCUAACGCAUUAAGCACUCCGCCUGGGGGAGUACGACCGCAAGGUUGAAAC